Long non-coding RNA from Ctenopharyngodon idella (grass carp), 369 nucleotides. RefSeq lists it as uncharacterized. Lineage: Eukaryota; Metazoa; Chordata; Actinopteri; Cypriniformes; Xenocyprididae. The record is from RefSeq and is a predicted model, not a curated record. The transcript has 3 exons.
CACACAUUUGGCAGGUGAAUGGUCUCUCUAGUGUGAAUUUUCAUAUGGACAUUAAGGCUUGAUUUAUGAGUGUAACUGUUCCCACACUGUUGGCAGGUGAAUGGGGUCUCUCCGGUGUGAAUUCUCAUGUGGACAUUAAGGUUUGAUUUUUGAGUGAAACUCUUUCCACACUGUUGGCAGGUGUAAGGCUUCUCUCCAGUGUGAAGUCUCAUGUGGGUGUUAAAGUGUGAGUUUUGAGUGAAACUGUUUCCACACUGUUGGCAGGUGUAAGGCUUCUCUCCAGUGUGAACUCUCAUGUGGACUUCAAGGUUUCGUUUUUGACUGAAAGUAUUUCCACACUGUUGGCAGGUGUAAGGCUUCUCUCCAGUG